This 489-nucleotide ribosomal RNA is filed under the name uncultured bacterium. RNAcentral's name for it is "bacterial SSU rRNA". It matches the Rfam family "Bacterial small subunit ribosomal RNA", at positions 28 to 529 of the family's 1533-position model. The record is from RNAcentral.
GAUGAACGCUAGCGGCAGGCUUAAUACAUGCAAGUCAAGGGGGUAGCAAUACAACCGGCGCACGGGUGAGUAACGCGUACACAACAUACCAUAUACUGGGGUAUAGCUUUGGGAAACUGAAGGUAAUCCCCCAUAACAUUGCGAGAGGGCAUCUGAUUGCAAUUAAAGUUUCGGCGGUAUAUGAUUGGUGUGCGUUUGAUUAGCUAGUUGGUAGGGUAACGGCCUACCAAGGCGACGAUCAAUAGCUGGCGUGAGAGCGCGACCAGCCACACUGGAACUGAGACACGGUCCAGACUCCUACGGGAGGCAGCAGUAGGGAAUAUUGGACAAUGGAGGAAACUCUGAUCCAGCCAUGCCGCGUGAUAGAUGAAGGCCCUCUGGGUUGUAAAUAUCUUUUAUCUGGGAAGAACAAUCUUAUUCUUAAGAUCUUGACGGUACCAGAGGAAUAAGCACCGGCUAACUCCGUGCCAGCAGCCGCGGUAAAGUAGU